This 3488-nucleotide long non-coding RNA is filed under the name Homo sapiens (human). RNAcentral's name for it is "long independently transcribed non-coding RNA 2642, transcript variant 5 (LINC02642)". The record is from RNAcentral. Lineage: Eukaryota; Metazoa; Chordata; Mammalia; Primates; Hominidae.
AGGAUCAGCAUGACUGUAGUGUUCCUGGCUUAACCCUGAGAGGUUGCUGUUCCCAGUGACUAUCUAGGCUGAAGCCCAUGUAGGAUUUGAAGAGACUGAUCCAGGCUUUAUGAGUGGCUGCGACCAUGCUGAUGCUGUAUCAUGUCUCAGACGACUGGAUUCCUAAAAACUCCCCAAAUGAAGCAGGUCCAAUUAGUAUGGUGUCACCAAUAUAUGGAUCCAUGCGAUUGAUUAUCUGUGGAGUGUCCGGAUGGUCCAGGACCCUUCAGAUUAUAUUACGAUGGAGAACAGGAAAAUUAACCAAAACCUGGGCAAGACUGCGAAUGUGUGCUACUAUCCAUCCCAGUUCUGGAGGCCGGAGUUGGAAAUCAGUUUCACUGGGCACACAUGGAGGUGUUUGAAGGGCUGCCCGUGCCAGAGGCUCUCAGGGAGAAUCCCUUCCUUGUCUGUUCCAGCUCUACCUCCUCCUCUGCUGUAUACAAAGACAAAGAAACAGGCAAAGAAACAUCUCUGACAUCAAGAUCAGGAAGUCACAGAGAGUACUUGAGUACACAUUCAGAAGUUUCAAGGAUUUUCUGUUCGUUUAUUAAACCUUAACAUUUGCUGUACAAGUUUUCAACAGGCCAAGGUUAAGUGAAGAAUGAAAAUAAUGUUUAACUCCAUUACAAAAGAGGAGGCUUUUGAUACAGACUUCAUAAUGUUCUUUGAGGAAGCAGGUAUAUGAGGUUUGUACAUUGAAUGGAUGUUCUAGAUUGAGCAAAAUACCCUCUAUGCACUCUCCUGCAGAGAGUGUGGGUGAAAUAGAAAUGUAUUUCUGGAUAGAAAGAGCAAUGUAUCACAUGCAUUCUGAAGAAGUCUAGCUGAGCAAAACCUUAAGAUUUCCUGUUGUUGCUGGACCGUAGACAUCAAUAUGACCGCUUAGCAUAAAGAUAAAGGUACCUCAGGGCCCAAGAAUAAAAAUUCCAUCGAGCACAACUCAGCGCUCUGAAAAUCUAGAUUUCCCUAAUCCCAGAGGGUGAGAGCCAAGGAGGAGCUCGUCCUGCCCAUUCCUGCCUUCCUCUAUCCCUGGCACUCACACCACAAGUUUGCUCUACUCUUAAACAAAAGCACCUGUGUUUUAAAAUUUUCAUUUUAAGUUCUGGGGUACAUGUGUAGGACAUGCAGGUUUGUUACAUAGGUAAACUUGUGCCAUGGUGGUUUGCUGCACCCAUCAACCCAUCACCUAGGUAUUAAACCGCACAUGCAUUAGCCAUUUGUCCUAAUGCUCUCCCUCCUGCCAACCCCCCACCCCCGACAGGUCCCAGUGUGUGUUGUUCCCCUCCCUGUGUCCAUGUGUUCUUACUGUUCAGCUCCCACUUAUGAGUGAGAACAUGCAGUGUUUGGUUUUCUGUUCCUGUGUUAGUUUGCUGAGGGUGAUGCCUUCCAGCUCCAUCCAUGUUCCUGCAAAGGACAUGAUCUCAUUCUUUUUUAUGGCUGCAUAGUAUUCCAUGGUAUAUAUGCAUCACAUUUUCUUUAUUCAUUCUAUCAUUGAUGGGCAUUUGGGUUGGUUCCAUGUCUUUGCUAUAGUGAAGAGUGCUACAAUGAACAUACACCUAUUUUUUUUUAACCCACAUUAUUUAUAGUCUUGUUUUCAGUAUUUUGGUAGGCAGUGCCUGGUCUGCUCCUCUCCUCCCUUCUCUGAGUUGCCCUUUUCCUCAAUUCUCUUUUACCAACUUUCCUUUUGCGAUCGUCUCUACUCUCCUUUUCUCUAUACUUCCCCUUCUUUUUCUCUUGGCCUCGACUUCUGAAUCCUGUGACAAUGGCGUGGGGGGUUUGGUGGAGAGAGGGGAACUAAAAGUGGAAAUGAGACACUGGGGAAUAAUCACAAGAAAGGAAACAAGACUUCCCAACUCUCCCCGGCUGUGAGCCCCACGACAUGGUUUCCACAUGAGCCUUCUCCCCACUUUUGGCUGCCUCCCUGACACGUUUCCAAGGAGACCUUUCCAAGUCAAGGCCGCAGCUCCCAAAGUAUUGAAGCACAAACCCAGCCCACUUCCAAUAAAUCAUCCUCUACAUACAGUUGUCUGGUUUGUAUCAGAAUGUCCUUGGGAUUCCUGUAAUGCUUGUCUCCAGAGUCACUUAGCCAGCAUUUUGGCUAGUUUUUGUUUUUGUUUUUUUUUUUCUGAUACUCUGGUUGCAUAAAGUUAAACAGGGUUUGCAAAAUGUAAUUUCAUUAUAUGAACAACAAGUUCUAUACACUGAUGAAUAACUUGGUUUUAUGUGGGCACUUAAUUCCCAGUCUAGUGCUAAGUCUUUAUCUUAAUUUUAACUUUUAAGGCAAACAAUGCAAGGCAUCAUCUUUUGAGUGGGAAAGAGGAAAAGCAUUUUAAUGAAUGAGUUCUUGGUUGGGCGCAGUGGCUCACUCCUGUAAUCCCAGCACUUUUGGAGACUGAGGCAGGAGGAUCGCUUGAGCUCGGGAGUUCAAGACCAGCCUGGGAAACAUGGUGAAACCCCGCCUCUACACAAAAAUUAAAAAAUUAGCCGGGGAGGGGGAUUGAUUGUGUGCAUUUGCAGCUGAGCUGCAGUGAGUCCCAGCUACUCGGGAGGCUGAGGGGGGAAGAUUGUUUGAGCCUAGGAGGGUGAGGCUGCAGUGACUUAUGAUCCUGCCACUGCACUCCAGCCUGGGCAAUAGAGUGAGACUCUCCAAAAAAAGAAAAAUAGAAUGAAUAAUGAAUGAGUUCUUGAAAGGAGAGAUGUAGCUGGGCACAGUGGCUCACAUGCUUGUAAUCCCAGCACUUUGGGAGGAUAAAGCAUGUGCAUCACCUGAGGUCAGGCAUGGUGGCGGGUGCCUGUAAUCCCAGCUACUUGGGAGGCUGAGGCAGGAGAAUUGCUUGAACCCAGGAGGCUGAGGUUGCAGUGAGCCGAGAUCACACCACUGCACUCCGGCCUGGGUUACAAGAGUGAAACUCUGCCAAAAAGAAAGAAAGAAAGAGAGAGACAGAGACAGAGAGAGAGAGAAAAGAAGGAAGGAAGGAAGGAAGGAAGGAAGGAAGGAAGGUAGGAAGGAAGGGAGAGAGAGAGAGAAAGAAAGAAAGGAGAGAUGUGAAAAAUAUGUUUAAGAAUUUCUCAUACAUUCAUGUCUGAAAGGAAUCAUUUUAUUCAUCCCUCUUUCAUGGAUGAAGACAUUGAGGCCCAGGUGUGGUAAAAUUUGCCCGAAGUAGCCCGUGAGUCCGUGAGAUGUCCUGCUCCCAUCUGGAGAGGAGGAGACACGCACAGCCGUCUCCACCACAAGCCGGAUUCCAGACACUGAUCCUGCCACCACCACCCCAGUCUUCUGUCUGUCCCUCUCAGCAUGGCAGUCAUGUACCCUGGCACAAUUUCUGUGAAAAUCCCCUAAACCAAGCUUGUCUAACCUGUGACCCACAGGCCGCAUGCAGCCCAGGAUGGCUUUGAAUGCAGCUGAACACACAUUUGUAAACUUUCCUAAAACAUGAAUUUUUUCGCAUUUA